GACUACUCGGGUAUCUAAUCCUGUUUGCUCCCCACGCUUUCGUGCCUCAGCGUCAGUUACAGUCCAGAAAGCCGCCUUCGCCACUGGUGUUCCUCCUAAUAUCUACGCAUUUCACCGCUACACUAGGAAUUCCGCUUUCCUCUCCUGCACUCAAGUAAUCCAGUUUCAAAUGCAACACCCGAGUUAAGCCCGGGGAUUUCACAUCUGACUUGGAUUACCGCCUACGCACCCUUUACGCCCAAUAAUUCCGGACAACGCUCGCUCCCUACGUAUUACCGCGGCUGCUGGCACGUAGUUAGCCGGAGCUUCCUCCUUGGGUACCGUCAUUUUUUUCGUCCCCAAGGACAGAGGUUUACAAUCCGAAGACCUUCUUCCCUCACGCGGCGUUGCUGGGUCAGGCUUGCGCCCAUUGCCCAAUAUUCCCCACUGCAGCCCCCCGUAGG
RNAcentral lists this ribosomal RNA (443 nucleotides) under uncultured Eubacteriales bacterium. RNAcentral describes it as "uncultured Clostridiales bacterium partial 16S ribosomal RNA". Lineage: Bacteria; Bacillati; Bacillota; Clostridia; Eubacteriales. The record is from RNAcentral.